This 460-nucleotide ribosomal RNA is filed under the name uncultured bacterium. RNAcentral describes it as "partial 16S ribosomal RNA". It matches the Rfam family "Bacterial small subunit ribosomal RNA", at positions 338 to 795 of the family's 1533-position model. The record is from RNAcentral.
CCUACGGGAGGCAGCAGUGAGGAAUAUUGGUCAAUGGCCGGAAGGCUGAACCAGCCAUGCCGCGUGAAGGUCAGUGCCCUAUGGGCGUUAAACUUCUUUUGUGCGGGAGCAAUAAUGGUCACGUGUGGCCAGACGAGAGUACCGUACGAAUAAGCAUCGGCUAACUCCGUGCCAGCAGCCGCGGUAAUACGGGGGAUGCAAGCGUUAUCCGGAGUUAUUGGGGUUAAAGGGUGCGUAGGCUGUGAGGUAAGUCAGCGGUGAAAUGCCCCCGCUCAACGGGGUGAAGUGCCAUUGAUACUGCCUUGCUGGAAUGCGGAUGCCGUGGGAGGAAUGUGUGGUGUAGCGGUGAAAUGCAUAGAUAUCACACAGAACACCGAUUGCGAAGACAUCUCACGAAUCCGCGAUUGACGCUGAUGCACGAAAGCGUGGGUAUCAAACAGGAUUAGAUACCCCAGUAGUC